This 253-nucleotide ribosomal RNA is filed under the name uncultured bacterium. Its description in RNAcentral is "partial 16S ribosomal RNA". It matches the Rfam family "Bacterial small subunit ribosomal RNA", at positions 524 to 776 of the family's 1533-position model. The record is from RNAcentral.
UACGUAGGGUGCGAGCGUUAAUCGGAAUUACUGGGCGUAAAGCGUGCGCAGGCGGUUUUGUAAGUCAGAUGUGAAAGACCCGGGCUCAACCUGGGAAUGGCAUUUGGGACUGCAAGGCUUGAGUGCGGCAGAGGAGACUGGAAUUCCUGGUGUAGCAGUGAAAUGCGUAGAUAUCAGGAGGAACACCGAUGGCGAAGGCAGGUCUCUGGGCUGACACUGACGCUCAUGCACGAAAGCGUGGGGAGCAAACAGG